Molecule: small RNA, 135 nt
Filed under: Pyrinomonas methylaliphatogenes
Lineage: Bacteria; Pseudomonadati; Acidobacteriota; Blastocatellia; Blastocatellales; Pyrinomonadaceae
Description: c-di-AMP sequence
Rfam family: c-di-AMP riboswitch aptamer (ydaO/yuaA leader)
About the family: This family represents a conserved RNA structure found upstream of the ydaO and yuaA genes in Bacillus subtilis and related genes in other bacteria. The ydaO/yuaA element is thought to act as a genetic "off" switch for the ydaO and yuaA genes in its native state. It is believed that the element may be triggered during osmotic shock leading to activation of ydaO, a predicted amino acid transporter gene, and members of the yuaA-yubG operon which code for KtrA and KtrB K+ transporters.
Source: Rfam by way of RNAcentral
GCGUCCUGCUGGCCGAAGCCGCGUUCGUGCGCGGCGCGGGGGAACCAGAUCGACCGGGGCGAAUCGCCAUAGGCGCGUAGGGCACUUCCAGCCCGAGCCCGACAGCUAACCUCGUAGGCGUUAUGGAAGGGCAGA